Molecule: ribosomal RNA, 393 nt
Filed under: uncultured bacterium
Lineage: Bacteria
Description: partial 16S ribosomal RNA
Rfam family: Bacterial small subunit ribosomal RNA
Source: RNAcentral
AUACGGAAGGUCCGGGCGUUAUCCGGAUUUAUUGGGUUUAAAGGGAGCGCAGGCGGCACUUCAAGCGUGACGUUAAAUUUCGGGGCUCACCCCCGUUGUGCGUCGCGAACUGUUGUGCUUGAGUAGGCGGCAGGGAGGCGGAAUUCGCGGUGUAGCGGUGAAAUGCUUAGAUAUCGCGAGGAACUCCGAUAGCGCAGGCAGCCUCCCGUUGCUUUACUGACGCUCAUGCUCGAAGGUGCGGGUAUCGAACAGGAUUAGAUACCCUGGUAGUCCGCACUGUAAACGAUGGAUGCCCGCUGUUGGGCCUUUUGGGCUCAGUGGCCAAGAGAAAUCGUUAAGCAUCCCACCUAGGGAGUACGCCGGCAACGGUGAAACUCAAAUGAAUUGACGGGG